This is a long non-coding RNA of Hirundo rustica (Barn swallow), 1991 nucleotides long. RefSeq lists it as uncharacterized. NCBI's taxonomy places the organism in Eukaryota, Metazoa, Chordata, Aves, Passeriformes, Hirundinidae. The transcript has 4 exons. The record is from RefSeq and is a predicted model, not a curated record.
UGUCCUUUAGCCCUGACAGAAGCCUGCCCAUUGUGAUGGAGUGCGUAGCAGCUCUUGCUGUUAUACCUGGGAGGUUCAUUUGUUGGGCUGAACAGAACCAGCAUUGACAGACAUUCCCUGGAUGUGGCAAGCAGAAGUGGUGGCCCUCUAUGCUGUCAGCUGCACAAUUUGCCCUGAGAGAGAUGGCACUAGACGAUCACGAAGAGAUGUAGAUUAUUUCUACAACUUGCCUUAAGUCAAUUUUCCUGUGACCUGUGAAUUUCCAGGUGAAAGGAGUCAAGGAAGAUUCUCCAAGAGAGGGGGAAUGGGGCCUGGGUUCCUCCAAUGCUGUAUCAGCUCCCUUCUGCAGUACCUUUCAGAAUUUCCCUCUUCACUCUUCCAUGUGUAAACUACCUGAACUCAGCCUGUUCUGAAACGCUGUGCCUUCCAGGUCGGUGAUGUUCUGUGGCCUGCUCCAAGAUGGUGGUAAAGAGUAGUAUAUGGGCAUUUUGAUUGUCUUACUGCUGCACUAAAAAGAAAAUCAGUGUCUGUUUCAGCCUCUGUCCCUUGUGAACAGCCUGGGUAUAGAUGUGGACCAGAGUGAGUAUGGACAACUCUCUAAAAUCAUACUCAUUCUGUGAUGGAAAGUCACUCUAUGUCACAGAUACCCUAAAGGAAGUGUGUACAGGCUUGUUUGAACAGCACAACUCAUAAAGGAAAAUAAGCCCUACAUGUGUUGUUGCCCUACACAUUUGUUGAAGCUAUGUUGUCCUAUGACAUUGGAAGGCAUUCGUUGGAGUUGCAUGUCGUGUCUGCUUCAUUCAAGCUGCAGUGUUGCUGGUGUGGCUUCAAGCAUAAUUUAAAUGUUGCUGACUUAAAAUCUUAGUUAUCUGCACGUUGUUCUCUAUUUACAAUGAGGAUAACAGUCACACAAUCCUCUAAAACACAUCAAAAUGUUGAAAAAGAAGUGUAAAUGCUACAUGUAUUUAGUUUAGUGAGUAAAAUGGAAAAAUGUUUGACGCUUGUGUACAGCUGAAAGAGAAGACAGCUGUCUUUGUCCCCAAAAGCUUACAAUGUGAGUGUAAAGCCAUGGUCAUGGGCAGUAAGUGUAGGGAAAUGGAUUGUAUUGAGCAGUGUGCUUGGCAGUAGCCUAACUCAAAUUUCUUAGGAGAAAUCAGAGCAAGGUUUUAAGGAGUGAUCAGGAGGAAUGAAAAUGAAGUUUGGAGCUGUUUAAAAGUUUACCUCAAGUAUGAGUGCAGAAUGAGUAAAAGCUCAAAUACAAGGAGAAACCAAAGAAGAAUGCAUUCAGGCAUUCCUAUGGUCAGAUUAACUGCUGAAAAUGCUGAUGGGGUUGACAUUCUGGGCAAAUAGGACUCGAAUGAGAUGAGACCUGAGGAAAGAAGUUGUAGUAAGCAGAUAAUGACACUUUAGACAAACCUUUUAAUUGUGAAGAUGAACAUACAAUCUUGAAUAUAAGUCAGAAUAUUUCUGCUUGUUUUUGCAUCGCUGAGUGUGAGGGUUUGGAGUGAAAUGAGGGUUGGUAAUGAAGAGUUAUAGGUUGAGAGGCAAAAUAGCAAUUUUUAUCUAUAUUGAUGGAGCAAAAAGUUUGUAGAGCUGAGGCUGACUUGAUUUUAGCCAUCCUCAGAGAAAUGUUUGAUACAGAUUGGGAUUUUAAGCUGGUUCAAGAAGAUAGGAGGGAAGAGGCAUAUUUACAAGUUGUCCGCACUGUGACAUUGUGGAUGAGUGUGUGCAUAGACGGGGGCAGAUACUCAGAAAAUACCAUGAAGGCCAUGAAUUCUUUACCUUUUAAGAUACUCACAAAUAAGCAAACCCAUAAGCAUUCAAUUGUAUGUAUUCUAUUUUAAUAGGUUUUUGUAAUAUCUUUGUUUAAAAUUGAAACAGAACUUAUUUACCAUAUUUACGUGCUCAUUCAUCUGUCUUGGUUGUUGUAGAUGAAAAAUGUGUAUGUUUUAUAAUUUUACACUCCACAGUGUAUAUCCCCUUGCAAGACC